Hordeum vulgare subsp. vulgare (domesticated barley) is the source of this 124-nucleotide non-coding RNA. Lineage: Eukaryota; Viridiplantae; Streptophyta; Magnoliopsida; Poales; Poaceae. The record is from Rfam.
AUACUACUCCCUCAUCCGGAAAUACUUGUCAUAGGAAUGGAUGUAUCUAGAUGUAUUUUGGUUAUAGAUACAUUCACUUUCAUUCAUUUUUGCGACAAGUAAUUCUGGACGGAGGGAGUAUAAC